AAAUUGAAGAGUUUGAUCAUGGCUCAGAUUGAACGCUGGCGGCAGGCCUAACACAUGCAAGUCGAACGGUAACAGGAAGCAGCUUGCUGCUUCGCUGACGAGUGGCGGACGGGUGAGUAAUGUCUGGGAAACUGCCUGAUGGAGGGGAUAACUACUGGAAACGGUGGCUAAUACCGCAUAACGUCGCAAGACCAAAGAGGGGACCUUCGGGCCUCUUGCCAUCAGAUGUGCCCAGAUGGGAUUAGCUAGUUGGUGAGGUAACGGCUCACCAAGGCGACGAUCCCUAGCUGGUCUGAGAGGAUGACCAGCCACACUGGAACUGAGACACGGUCCAGACUCCUACGGGAGGCAGCAGUGGGGAAUAUUGCACAAUGGGCGCAAGCCUGAUGCAGCCAUGCCGCGUGUAUGAAGAAGGCCUUCGGGUUGUAAAGUACUUUCAGCGGGGAGGAAGGUGUUGUGGUUAAUAACCGCAGCAAUUGACGUUACCCGCAGAAGAAGCACCGGCUAACUCCGUGCCAGCAGCCGCGGUAAUACGGAGGGUGCAAGCGUUAAUCGGAAUUACUGGGCGUAAAGCGCACGCAGGCGGUCUGUCAAGUCGGAUGUGAAAUCCCCGGGCUCAACCUGGGAACUGCAUUCGAAACUGGCAGGCUUGAGUCUUGUAGAGGGGGCUAGAAUUCCGUGUGUAGCGGUGAAAUGCGUAGAGAUCUGGAGGAAUACCGGUGGCGAAGGCGGCCCCCUGGACAAAGACUGACGCUCAGGUGCGAAAGCGUGGGGAGCAAACAGGAUUAGAUACCCUGGUAGUCCACGCCGUAAACGAUGUCUACUUGGAGGUUGUGCCCUUGAGGCGUGGCUUCCGGAGCUAACGCGUUAAGUAGACCGCCUGGGGAGUACGGCCGCAAGGUUAAAACUCAAAUGAAUUGACGGGGGCCCGCACAAGCGGUGGAGCAUGUGGUUUAAUUCGAUGCAACGCGAAGAACCUUACCCGUCUUGACUUCCACAGAACUUUCCAGAGAUGGAUUGGUGCCUUCGGGAACUGUGAGACAGGUGCUGCAUGGCUGUCGUCAGCUCGUGUUGUGAAAUGUUGGGUUAAGUCCCGCAACGAGCGCAACCCUUAUCCUUUGUUGCCAGCGAUUAGGUCGGGAACUCAAAGGAGACUGCCAGUGAUAAACUGGAGGAAGGUGGGGAUGACGUCAAGUCAUCAUGGCCCAUGCAACUCGACUCCAUGAAGUCGGAAUCGCUAGUAAUCGUGGAUCAGAAUGCCACGGUGAAUACGUUCCCGGGCCUUGUACACACCGCCCGUCACACCAUGGGAGUGGGUUGCAAAAGAAGUAGGUAGCUUAACCUUCGGGAGGGCGCUUACCACUUUGUGAUUCAUGACUGGGGUGAAGUCGUAACAAGGUAACCGUAGGGGAACCUGCGGUUGGAUCACCUCCUUACCUUAAAGAAGC
RNAcentral lists this ribosomal RNA (1448 nucleotides) under Salmonella enterica subsp. enterica serovar 1,4,[5],12:i:-. Its description in RNAcentral is "16S ribosomal RNA". It matches the Rfam family "Bacterial small subunit ribosomal RNA". The record is from RNAcentral. Lineage: Bacteria; Pseudomonadati; Pseudomonadota; Gammaproteobacteria; Enterobacterales; Enterobacteriaceae.